UACGAGUGGUGCAAGCGUUAUUCGGAAUCAUUGGGCGUAAAGGGCGCGUAGACGGUUUGCUAAGUCUGUUGUUAAAUCCCUCGGCUUAACUGAGGACAUGCAGCGGAAACUGGUAGACUAGAGGGUGGAAGAGAGAAGUGGAAUUCUCGGAGUAGCGGUAAAAUGCGUAGAUCUCGAGAGGAACACCGAUGGCGAAGGCAGCUUCUUGGGCCAUACCUGACGUUGAAGUGCGAAAGCGUGGGGAGCAAACAGG
RNAcentral lists this ribosomal RNA (253 nucleotides) under uncultured bacterium. RNAcentral's name for it is "partial 16S ribosomal RNA". It matches the Rfam family "Bacterial small subunit ribosomal RNA", at positions 524 to 776 of the family's 1533-position model. The record is from RNAcentral.